AGCCUGAACGCUGGCGGCGUGGCUAAGACAUGCAAGUCGCACGGUGUAGCAAUACACAGUGGCGAACGGGUGAGUAAUGAAUCGCUAAAUGUACCCCGGACUCUGGGAUAGCUACCCGAAAGGGUAGGUAAUACCAGAUGAUAUGCAGCUGUCGCAUGACAGUUGCCUCAAAGGUCCGCCGGUCUGGGAGCAGGCGAUUUCGUAUCAGCUUGUUGGUGAGGUAACGGCUCACCAAGGCGACGACGCGUAGCCGGACUGAGAGGUUGGCCGCACAUUGGGACUGAGACACUGCCCAGACUCCUACGGGGGCUGCAGUACGAAUCUUCCGCAAUGCAGAAAGUGUGACGGACGCGACGCCGCGUGUAGGAGAACGCCCGUUUCGGGGG
RNAcentral lists this ribosomal RNA (386 nucleotides) under uncultured soil bacterium. RNAcentral describes it as "bacterial SSU rRNA". It matches the Rfam family "Bacterial small subunit ribosomal RNA", at positions 26 to 423 of the family's 1533-position model. The record is from RNAcentral.